GGAGCGCCCUAGGGUAAAACUGGUGAUUGGGGCUAAGUCGUAACAAGGUAGCCGUACCGGAAGGUGCGGCUGGAACACCUCCUUUCUGGAGC
This 92-nucleotide ribosomal RNA is filed under the name Mediterranea massiliensis. RNAcentral's name for it is "partial 16S ribosomal RNA". It matches the Rfam family "Bacterial small subunit ribosomal RNA", at positions 1449 to 1533 of the family's 1533-position model. Lineage: Bacteria; Pseudomonadati; Bacteroidota; Bacteroidia; Bacteroidales; Bacteroidaceae. The record is from RNAcentral.